Molecule: small nuclear RNA, 109 nt
Organism: Callithrix jacchus (white-tufted-ear marmoset)
Lineage: Eukaryota; Metazoa; Chordata; Mammalia; Primates; Cebidae
Source: Ensembl
UUGCUCUCACUUGGGCAGCACAUAUACUAAAAUUGGAACAAUACAGAGAAGAUUAGCACGGCCCCUGCGCAAGGAUGACACGCAGAUUCCCAAAGUGUUCCAUAUUUUU